GUCUCCAUAGUCUAGUGGUUAGGACGGCGGUCUCAUAUAGCAUUAUGACGAUUCCUAUCUAAAGGAGUUGCAAUCCGCAAGCACGAGUUCGAUUCUCGUUGGAGGCA
Molecule: transfer RNA, 107 nt
Filed under: Aspergillus bertholletiae
Lineage: Eukaryota; Fungi; Ascomycota; Eurotiomycetes; Eurotiales; Aspergillaceae
Rfam family: tRNA
About the family: Transfer RNA (tRNA) molecules are approximately 80 nucleotides in length. Their secondary structure includes four short double-helical elements and three loops (D, anti-codon, and T loops).
Source: Rfam by way of RNAcentral